RNA transcript from Hevea brasiliensis (rubber tree), 3073 nucleotides. It is a transcript of the gene named DExH-box ATP-dependent RNA helicase DExH18, mitochondrial, with no coding region annotated. The transcript is spliced from 3 exons. NCBI's taxonomy places the organism in Eukaryota, Viridiplantae, Streptophyta, Magnoliopsida, Malpighiales, Euphorbiaceae. The record is from RefSeq and is a predicted model, not a curated record.
GAAUUUACCUCUCUCUCUCUCUCUCUCGCUUGCUCGCUCUUUCUAUUGGAAGUCAUUUGCUACUUUAAUCUGGUUUAUUCGAUAUCUAUUGUUUUGAUGAAGUUGCUUAAUCUCGCAAAAAAUUGAAUUUUAUUUGUAUUUUGUUUUUGUAAAAGUCAGUUUCUAAUGGCAAGAGGCCCUAUUGCGUCUCUCUUUCGAGCCUACGCAUCAAAAAGUAAGGUUUCUAGGGCUAGAUUUUUACUCUCAAAUCAAAAUUUUCGUUCUUUUAGACUAUUUAACAACUGGGUAUUAGAAAGUCAUCAACUUAUUCCUCCAUUUGAUGUGCCCUACCAUCAAAUCUCAAGUUCGAUAUGCUUAAUUCAUCCUCAGUUGCCCUCAUGGAACCCAAAAUUUACCCUUUGUAGUGCCAUAAAUGGGAGGCCAUUUUCUUCAUCAGUCCAAGACGGGGAUGAUGAGAAUAGCAGCAGUACGGAAUUGGAAGAGAACAUUAAUAUGGAUUUUGUAGAAACUAUUCGUGUGGAAGGUGUUAUUGAGAAGACAAUUGAAGAUGGAGUUGGUGAUGUUAAUGGUAGCACCUUUUCUUAUCCUAUAACUUCUGUAGAGGAACAUGAAAAUCAAGAUAGUGGUAGCAACAAUAAAAUUGCAGUCAAAAAGAAUGUGCAAUUUCGUGAUCCUGUAGAAAUAUAUCAGGAGCUUCGAAAUGCUGAAAAGAAUGAUAAGCUGAGACGGUCUGAUUGGGAGAUUCUACGAGAAAUAUUCUUUUACUUUGCUAAUUCUGGCUGGGCUGCCAAUCAGGCUCUUGCGAUUUAUAUUGGCAUGUCAUUUUUUCCCACUGCUGCUCAUAAGUUUCGGAAUUUUUUCUUUAGGAAAUGUUCUGCUCAGCUUGCUAUGUACUUGGUUUCACUUGGUCCGUGCAAUGCUGCUGUUAGGUUCCUUUUUCCAAUAUUUGUUGAAUAUUGCAUAGAAGAGUUUCCUGAUGAAAUUAAGCGCUUUCGAAGUAUGAUUGAGUCUGCAGAUCUUACGAAGCCAUAUACAUGGUUUCCUUUUGCUCGGGCAAUGAAACGUAGAAUUAUAUAUCAUUGUGGCCCAACAAACAGCGGUAAAACUUACAAUGCACUGCAACGAUUUAUGGAAGCUAAGAAGGGUGUUUAUUGCAGUCCACUCAGGCUCUUGGCAAUGGAAGUUUUUGACAAAGUGAAUGCUCUUGGUGUUUACUGUAGCCUUCACACAGGACAAGAGAAGAAAAAUGUCCCAUUCUCGAAUCACGUGGCUUGUACUGUGGAAAUGGUGUCAACUGAUGAAUUGUAUGAUGUGGCUGUCAUUGAUGAGAUCCAGAUGAUGGCAGACUCAUUCAGAGGUUUUGCAUGGACAAGAGCACUGCUUGGUUUGAAGGCGGAUGAGAUUCAUUUAUGUGGAGAUCCAAGUGUUCUGAAUAUUGUAAGAAAGAUAUGUUCAGAAACUGGAGAUGAACUGCUUGAACACCAUUAUGACAGGUUCAAACCACUAGUGGUUGAAGCCAAAACCCUGUUGGGAGAUCUUCGAAAUGUACGCUCUGGGGAUUGUGUGGUUGCAUUUUCAAGAAGAGAGAUUUUUGAGGUAAAAUUGGCGAUUGAGAAACACACCAAGCAUCGUUGUUGUGUUAUUUAUGGUGCCUUACCGCCAGAGACACGUAGACAGCAGGCUAACUUAUUCAAUGAUCAAGAUAAUGAAUUUGAUGUGCUGGUUGCAAGUGAUGCUGUGGGUAUGGGUUUGAAUCUCAAUAUUAGAAGAGUAGUUUUUAACAGUCUUUCAAAGUACAAUGGCGACAAGAUUGUUCCAGUUCCAGCAUCACAGGUGAAGCAGAUUGCUGGAAGAGCUGGGAGGAGAGGAAGCCGCUACCCAGAUGGACUCACUUCCACCCUGCAUUUGGAUGAUCUCGGUUACCUGAUUGAAUGUUUAAAGCAACCUUUUGAAGAAGUAAAGAAAGUGGGUCUCUUUCCUUUCUAUGAGCAGGUUGAAUUAUUUGCUGGGCAACUUCCAGAUGUUACUUUUCCUCAACUGCUUGAAAAGUUUGGUGAAAAUUGUCGUCUUGAUGGGUCUUACUUCUUAUGUCGGCAUGAUAAUAUAAAGAAGGUAGCAUAUAUGUUGGAGAAGGUUCAGGGAUUAUCUUUGGAAGAUCGUUUCAACUUUUGUUUUGCUCCAGUUAAUAUUAGAGACCCAAAAGCAAUGUACCAUCUUCUAAAGUUUGCUUCUUCCUAUAGUCAGAAGGUCCCUGUUGGUAUAGCAAUGGGCAUGCCAAAGGGAUCUGCUCAGAAUGACUCAGAGCUCCUAGAUCUCGAAACUAAACAUCAAGUUCUUUCCACGUAUCUGUGGUUGUCUCAUCAAUUUAAAGAGGAAACUUUUCCAUAUGUUAAGAAAGCUGAGACAAUGGCAACGGAAAUUGCUGAUUUACUGGGUCAAUCACUCAUCCAAGCUCGCUGGAAACCAGAAUCAAGGAAGGCAGGGAAACCAAGGCCUCAGCAACAGAAAGAUGGUUUUGAGAGGCCCAAGUCACUCAUCAAACAAUAUAUAGAGAGAAGGAAAAAACAGAACUCAUCACAGGAGUGUUCAGAGAAGGUAGCAGUGUGAUGAAUCUUGCAGUUUCUUGCUCUGGUACACCUCGAGAGGGAUGUGGGUGAGUUUGGUGAUUCUUUAAUUUGGUCUCAUGGUGCACUCAAAAAAAUCAUUGAUACCUGCAUGAUCUACUACAAUUGUUUGACGUGCAUCUAGUGGCUUACAGUCCGCCUGUGUCUCUGGUGGCUCCCAAUCCAAAGUCCUAAAGAUGAUGUAUGCAUGGGAUUUGAGGCCAUAAAUUCCCUCAUACAGCUUGCCAAGUGAAAAUAUGCAACUGAGCUUAGGAAAUGAAAUUAACGGGCAGAGGACCGCAGAUGGUCAGUAACUCAUGGUUUUUAAUUUGUAAAUGUUGAUAGAAACUUCUAGUGGCACAUUUGGAAUAAGUAGGCAUACUCUGUUGAGGCCUUAUUAUACGAGGCCAAUUCCUCAAAUCGUGGUGACUGUUCAUCUUAAUUUUUGUAUUGAAAUUUAUGAUUUUCCA